CACACACAUCAGAAGCAAAUGGUAGCCCACCAUACAGACUGCUCUGGACCGUGCUCUUUUGAAAUAAUGUGUCCCACAGAGAAGAAGCCCAUUCCUUUUAUUGGAAGCAGCUGCAGAGUAUUCCAUGGGUGGGUGCAUCAAGGAACCGGACCUUCCCGUCGACGAUGAGAUGAUAAUGUUGAGGUGCCCGGAGACGUUUGACGAUGAAGAUCUGUGAUACGGGAGGGCUGGAAGCAGGAGGGGAUGGAGGAGGCUGGUGGUCUCCGGCUUUGAGUUCUGGCAGCCCAAGUUGCCCCUGCCUUGGCGUUUUGGAGUGGGCUGCCCUGAAAGCAUUUUGAUGGUUGUAGUUUCUGGUUGUUAUAAAGUAUUUAAGAAUA
Bubalus bubalis (water buffalo) is the source of this 377-nucleotide long non-coding RNA. RefSeq lists it as uncharacterized. The transcript has 2 exons. The record is from RefSeq and is a predicted model, not a curated record. NCBI's taxonomy places the organism in Eukaryota, Metazoa, Chordata, Mammalia, Artiodactyla, Bovidae.